This is a non-coding RNA of Schistosoma rodhaini, 48 nucleotides long. The record is from Rfam. Lineage: Eukaryota; Metazoa; Platyhelminthes; Trematoda; Strigeidida; Schistosomatidae.
AUCCAGCUGACGAGUCCCAAAUGGGACGAAGUGGCGCGCGCCCUGGAU